This 249-nucleotide ribosomal RNA is filed under the name uncultured Alcaligenaceae bacterium. RNAcentral describes it as "partial 16S ribosomal RNA". It matches the Rfam family "Bacterial small subunit ribosomal RNA", at positions 355 to 596 of the family's 1533-position model. Lineage: Bacteria; Pseudomonadati; Pseudomonadota; Betaproteobacteria; Burkholderiales; Alcaligenaceae. The record is from RNAcentral.
UGGGGAAUUUUGGGCAAUGGAGGAAACUCUGACCCAGCGACGCCGCGUGCGGGAUGAAGGCCUUCGGGUUGUAAAGCACUUUUGGCAGGAAAGAAAUCGCACAAAUUAAUACUUUGUGUGGAUGACGGUACCUGCAGAAUAAGCACCGGCUAACUACGUGCCAGCAGCCGCGGUAAUACGUAGGGUGCAAGCGUUAAUCGGAAUUACUGGGCGUAAAGCGUGCGCAGGCGGUUCGGAAAGAGAGGUGUG